GAUGAACGCUGGCGGCGUGCCUAAUACAUGCAAGUCGAGCGAACAGACGAGGAGCUUGCUCCUCUGACGUUAGCGGCGGACGGGUGAGUAACACGUGGAUAACCUACCUAUAAGACUGGGAUAACUUCGGGAAACCGGAGCUAAUACCGGAUAAUAUAUUGAACCGCAUGGUUCAAUAGUGAAAGACGGUUUUGCUGUCACUUAUAGAUGGAUCCGCGCCGCAUUAGCUGGUUGGUAAGGUAACGGCUUAACAAGGCAACGAUGGUUAGCCGACCUGAGAGGGUGAUCGGACACACUGGCACUGAGACACGGUCCAGACUCCUACGGGAGGACGCAGUAGGGAAUCUUCCGCAAUGGGCGAAAGCGUGACGGAGCAACGCCGCGUGAGUGAUGAAGGUCUUCGGAUCGUAAAACUCUGUUAUUAGGGAAGAACAAAUGUGUAAGUAACUAUGCACGUCUUGACGGUACCUAAUCAGAAAGCCCCGGCUAACUACGUG
RNAcentral lists this ribosomal RNA (497 nucleotides) under uncultured bacterium. RNAcentral describes it as "partial 16S ribosomal RNA". It matches the Rfam family "Bacterial small subunit ribosomal RNA", at positions 28 to 507 of the family's 1533-position model. The record is from RNAcentral.